This 669-nucleotide long non-coding RNA is filed under the name Anser brachyrhynchus (Pink-footed goose). RNAcentral describes it as "lncRNA (ENSABRG00000010885.1)". Lineage: Eukaryota; Metazoa; Chordata; Aves; Anseriformes; Anatidae. The record is from RNAcentral.
AUUUUAUUUUAUUUUAUUUUAUUUUAUUUCAUUUCAUUUCAUUUCAUUUCAUUUCAUUUCAUUUCAUUUCAUUAUUUUGUGCACUCUUGCACGAUGCCCAGGCAGGAAGCUGGAAAAAAAAAUAAAUAUAUAUAUUCAUAUGUGCUUUGGGUUUGUUAAACAAUACAACUCAUACAGUGGAUAGCUGACAUUGGAAAAAAAUCUUACAAGACAUCUGAUAUAACCCAAUGUGAUACGAGUCCUUUUGUAAAGCUGAAAAUAUGCUGCUGAAAGCAACAAUAAUUGCUCAUCCGUUAAUUAGAGUGUAUGUUUUAUUCUGAGAUAGGUAUCAAUGCACCUUGCUGCUUGUAAGAUUGCCCAGCUCACGGGGAACAAAAGAGGUCCAAAGAAAGUCUGUCUGAAGAGAUGGUGAAUAUGUUUCAGUGCACAAAUACCGCAAAGUAGUCAUGUGUACUCAAAAGACUGGCAUCAAUACCUGGCAGUGGCUUAUGGCACAUAUGGCAGUUCAUUUUACAGCUUUUGGAUUCCCACUGUGGGCAAACUUAAGCCAUCCCUAUACUUCAAGGCAAUAAGAAAAGAAAAUCCUGCAAUCUGAUCAUUAUUUCUAUUAGCAAUGCAAGGUCGUUGCCCAUAGGAAGUUAUAAUAAACCUGCGCUUGAAUUCUGGACA